UACGUAGGGGGCGAGCGUUUUCCGGAUUUAUUGGGCGUAAAGAGCUCGUAGGCGGUUCAGUAAGUCGGAUGUGAAAACUCGGGGCUCAACCCCGAGCCUGCACCCGAUACUGCUGUGACUAGAGUCUGGUAGAGGAGUGUGGAACUCCCGGUGUAGCGGUGAAAUGCGCAGAUAUCGGGAAGAACACCAGCGGCGAAGGCGGCACUCUGGGCCAGAACUGACGCUGAGGAGCGAAAGCGUGGGUAGCGAACAGG
Molecule: ribosomal RNA, 254 nt
Filed under: uncultured bacterium
Lineage: Bacteria
Description: partial 16S ribosomal RNA
Rfam family: Bacterial small subunit ribosomal RNA
Source: RNAcentral